UACACAUGCAGUCGACGGAAAGGCCCUUCGGGGUACUCGAGUGGCGAACGGGUGAGUAACACGUGGGUGAUCUGCCCUGCACUUUGGGAUAAGCCUGGGAAACUGGGUCUAAUACCGAAUAGGACCACGCGCUUCAUGGUGUGUGGUGGAAAGCUUUUGCGGUGUGGGAUGGGCCCGCGGCCUAUCAGCUUGUUGGUGGGGUAAUGGCCUACCAAGGCGACGACGGGUAGCCGGCCUGAGAGGGUGACCGGCCACACUGGGACUGAGAUACGGCCCAGACUCCUACGGGAGGCAGCAGUGGGGAAUAUUGCACAAUGGGCGCAAGCCUGAUGCAGCGACGCCGCGUGAGGGAUGACGGCCUUCGGGUUGUAAACCUCUUUCAAUAGGGACGAAGCGCGAGUGACGGUACCUAUAGAAGAAGCACCGGCCAACUACGUGCCAGCAGCCGCGGUAAUACGUAGGGUGCGAGCGUUGUCCGGAAUUACUGGGCGUAAAGAGCUCGUAGGUGGUUUGUCGCGUUGUUCGUGAAAACUCACAGCUUAACUGUGGGCGUGCGGGCGAUACGGGCAGACUAGAGUACUGCAGGGGAGACUGGAAUUCCUGGUGUAGCGGUGGAAUGCGCAGAUAUCAGGAGGAACACCGGUGGCGAAGGCGGGUCUCUGGGCAGUAACUGACGCUGAGGAGCGAAAGCGUGGGGAGCGAACAGGAUUAGAUACCCUGGUAGUCCACGCCGUAAACGGUGGGUACUAGGUGUGGGUUCCUUCCUUGGGAUCCGUGCCGUAGCUAACGCAUUAAGUACCCCGCCUGGGGAGUACGGCCGCAAGGCUAAAACUCAAAGGAAUUGACGGGGGCCCGCACAAGCGGCGGAGCAUGUGGAUUAAUUCGAUGCAACGCGAAGAACCUUACCUGGGUUUGACAUGCACAGGACGCCGGCAGAGAUGUCGGUUCCCUUGUGGCCUGUGUGCAGGUGGUGCAUGGCUGUCGUCAGCUCGUGUCGUGAGAUGUUGGGUUAAGUCCCGCAACGAGCGCAACCCUUGUCCUAUGUUGCCAGCGGGUUAUGCCGGGGACUCGUAGGAGACUGCCGGGGUCAACUCGGAGGAAGGUGGGGAUGACGUCAAGUCAUCAUGCCCCUUAUGUCCAGGGCUUCACACAUGCUACAAUGGCCGGUACAAAGGGCUGCGAUGCCGUGAGGUGGAGCGAAUCCUUUCAAAGCCGGUCUCAGUUCGGAUCGGGGUCUGCAACUCGACCCCGUGAAGUCGGAGUCGCUAGUAAUCGCAGAUCAGCAACGCUGCGGUGAAUACGUUCCCGGGCCUUGUACACACCGCCCGUCACGUCAUGAAAGUCGGUAACACCCGAAGCCGGUGGCCUAACCCUUGUGGAGGGAGCCGUCGA
This 1392-nucleotide ribosomal RNA is filed under the name Mycolicibacterium sp. RNAcentral's name for it is "bacterial SSU rRNA". It matches the Rfam family "Bacterial small subunit ribosomal RNA". Lineage: Bacteria; Bacillati; Actinomycetota; Actinomycetes; Mycobacteriales; Mycobacteriaceae. The record is from RNAcentral.